UACGUAGGGUGCAAGCGUUGUCCGGAAUUAUUGGGCGUAAAGAGCUUGUAGGUGGUUUGUCGCGUCUGCCGUGAAAGUCCGGGGCUCAACUCCGGAUCUGCGGUGGGUACGGGCAGACUAGAGUGAUGUAGGGGAGACUGGAAUUCCUGGUGUAGCGGUGAAAUGCGCAGAUAUCAGGAGGAACACCGAUGGCGAAGGCAGGUCUCUGGGCAUUAACUGACGCUGAGGAGCGAAAGCAUGGGGAGCGAACAGG
RNAcentral lists this ribosomal RNA (253 nucleotides) under uncultured bacterium. RNAcentral's name for it is "partial 16S ribosomal RNA". It matches the Rfam family "Bacterial small subunit ribosomal RNA", at positions 524 to 776 of the family's 1533-position model. The record is from RNAcentral.